RNAcentral lists this ribosomal RNA (467 nucleotides) under uncultured bacterium. Its description in RNAcentral is "partial 16S ribosomal RNA". It matches the Rfam family "Bacterial small subunit ribosomal RNA", at positions 28 to 507 of the family's 1533-position model. The record is from RNAcentral.
GAUGAACGCUGGCGGCGUGCUUAACACAUGCAAGUCGAACGGAAAGGCCCAAGCUUGCUUGGGUACUCGAGUGGCGAACGGGUGAGUAACACGUGGGUGAUCUGCCCUGCACUUCGGGAUAAGCCUGGGAAACUGGGUCUAAUACCGGAUAGGACCACUUCUUGGAUGUUGUGGUGGAAAGUUUUUUCGGUGUGGGAUGAGCUCGCGGCCUAUCAGCUUGUUGGUGGGGUAAUGGCCUACCAAGGCGUCGACGGGUAGCCGGCCUGAGAGGUUGUACGGCCACAUUGGGACUGAGAUACGGCCCAGACUCCUACGGGAGGCAGCAGUGGGGAAUAUUGCACAAUGGGCGCAAGCCUGAUGCAGCGACGCCGCGUGGGGGAUGACGGCCUUCGGGUUGUAAACUCCUUUCGCUAGGGACGAAGCGUUUUGUGACGGUACCUGGAGAAGAAGCACCGGCUAACUACGUG